AGAAGUCUUCAGUAUACCCCUGUGCUAAGAAUAGGCCUGGACACUGCUGAGGAGGACAAAUUGGAAAUGCUGCUGGAAACACGCAGCCUUUUUAAAGAAGGUGGACACUGGUGGGCACGUCUUAGAACUGCAUGGUCAGAUGAAACCUGUAUGGAGGUCCUGCUGAUGCAGCGGUGGCUGUUAAUAGCCCUCCUGUUGCCACAGCAGAUCAACUAAUUGACUACUCGGCAGUUGGUGUAGAGAAAAAGACCUUGGAGCAGCGCGCCUAAUUAUACUUUGUGUGACAGCUAUCCAUUGCCGCCCUCCCUGGGUCCAGGAAGGCCCUGGGCCGUUCCUGCUGUGUCUCCUGGCCUAGGUCCAGCCACACUCAUCUUCCCAUUAGCUAAUUAUCAAAACAAGUGCUGGCGAGGUCACUUCAUCUGUCCCUCAUCACCUCCCGAGUAUUCGGAAACCCCUAGCACCACCUCUUAAUCAACCCAUUGUGUUGACAUGCAGUAGUCACAGCUGUAAUAGGCACACUUUGGGAUAGCAGAAAAGAUUGACCUGAGCAGGAUGACUUUACACCAUAAGAGUAUUUAUUCCUGGUUUUUCACUCUUCCUCACAAGUGCAGAUGGUGUUGUACAGUUUGCACAAGUCAUUUUUCAAUCAUAUCACACACCUGGACAAUAAAUUGACAGUAAAAAUUGUGUUCAAUGUUG
Long non-coding RNA from Cynoglossus semilaevis (tongue sole), 699 nucleotides. RefSeq lists it as uncharacterized. The record is from RefSeq and is a predicted model, not a curated record. The transcript has 2 exons. Lineage: Eukaryota; Metazoa; Chordata; Actinopteri; Pleuronectiformes; Cynoglossidae.